AGGUUCACCUUAAAAUUAGGUUAUUCUCAUUGACUCUAUGAUAACUAUUUGGUUUUAAAAAGUCAGUCGAAAUGUCAAUUAACCUGAAAUUUUCUAAAAUAUUUUUACAAAUUUUGGUAAACAAAGUAGCUUGAGCAUUAAUUUGUUAAUCCAUAGUGGGAAUGUGUAUUUAGUCACAUAAAUCAAGCAAAUUAGGCGCCAGGAAAAGUAUACUUAUGAGAAAUUUUUCUAAAAGAAAAAUACGUAAGUAACUAGUUAGUUAGAAGAAACAAAACAUUUAUAGGGUCAGUUUGAAUUUUAUACGCCUGUCAGGACCUUUUUGAAACACCUUGAGGUAUUAGGUGUUUAAAUAUAAAGUAACUAGUUGUAAACAGUGAAUAGGAGUAACGGGGCUAGAAGAUUAUACAUGCUGAUACGGAGACUGGAGAUUUUUUCCCCUGAUUCCUGGUUUAACAACAUGAAUCGUGCUUAGAGCUCAGAUAUGCUUACUAGUUAAAUUAAUUAAUUUGAUUUGAAUUGAUGUAGUAUACACAUUAAUUAUUCUAAAUGAUAAUUAUAUUUAUUUGAAAUUUGUUUUUAUACUUCAGGUGAUAGUUAAAUACCUAUUGUCUUUAGUUACUGACUGAAGUCUUAUAAUAAUUAUAAAUGCAAACAAUUUUCUGUGUU
This is a long non-coding RNA of Maniola jurtina (meadow brown), 666 nucleotides long. RefSeq lists it as uncharacterized. The transcript is spliced from 2 exons. NCBI's taxonomy places the organism in Eukaryota, Metazoa, Arthropoda, Insecta, Lepidoptera, Nymphalidae. The record is from RefSeq and is a predicted model, not a curated record.